This 253-nucleotide ribosomal RNA is filed under the name uncultured bacterium. Its description in RNAcentral is "partial 16S ribosomal RNA". It matches the Rfam family "Bacterial small subunit ribosomal RNA", at positions 524 to 776 of the family's 1533-position model. The record is from RNAcentral.
UACAGAGGUCUCAAGCGUUGUUCGGAUUCAUUGGGCGUAAAGGGUGUGUAGGUGGCGCGCUAAGUCGGGUGUGAAAUUUCGGAGCUUAACUCCGAAACUGCAUUCGAUACUGGCGUGCUUGAGGACUGGAGAGGAGACUGGAAUUUACGGUGUAGCAGUGAAAUGCGUAGAUAUCGUAAGGAAGACCAGUGGCGAAGGCGGGUUUCUGGACAGUUCCUGACACUGAGACACGAAGGCCAGGGGAGCAAACGGG